AGAGAAGUGAGUCUGCAAGCAAGAUAUGUGACACACAUUCCUCCUAGGACAGAUGGGAAGUCGGUGGUUCACGGAGCACUCUUUGGAUGUUCACGAAGUACAACCACUAUGUUCCCUCAUCAAUCCUCCUGUGUACGCUAUUCUUUUAACAAUUUUGAUACGUCUAAUAUAAUAUCAGGAGUCGAGAUUGAAACGAAGAUUCGUACAAUCUCUAAAAUGCAGGACACGUGAACACGGGACACAAAUCUAUAUAUUAUAUAAUUUUGAGUUAUAUAAAUUGAAAAUAAAUAUUUAUGUGCAAAAAUGUGUUUUUGAUUCUUUUGGGAACAGAAAGAUAUGUUUUAUGACUG
Molecule: long non-coding RNA, 350 nt
Filed under: Phaseolus vulgaris (common bean)
Lineage: Eukaryota; Viridiplantae; Streptophyta; Magnoliopsida; Fabales; Fabaceae
Description: long non-coding RNA (PVUL_LNC003170)
Source: RNAcentral